GCAUCCAGCAGUGGUUAGUUGCUCACCUCAUCUCCCAGACAGAGUUUGACUUGUGGGAUCUGAUUGUCUCAGAGAUAGAGGACACAACCUCAGAGAGCUUCAGGGGACGGCGUCAGUUGCCGUAUGCACAUUGGAUCACUCUACUUAUACUUCGUGCUAGGCCACUGCCCCUGCCAGCUCACUUGCAGAGGGAGUUGACAGAGUCCGACACCGUCUUCCCCCACUACGACCCCC
This 234-nucleotide long non-coding RNA is filed under the name Sorghum bicolor (sorghum). Its description in RNAcentral is "long non-coding RNA (SBIC_LNC005198)". The record is from RNAcentral. Lineage: Eukaryota; Viridiplantae; Streptophyta; Magnoliopsida; Poales; Poaceae.